ACAUGCAAGUCGAGCGGUAACAUUUCUAGCUUGCUAGAAGAUGACGAGCGGCGGACGGGUGAGUAAUACUUAGGAAUCUACCUAGUAGUGGGGGAUAGCUCGGGGAAACUCGAAUUAAUACCGCAUACGACCUACGGGAGAAAGGGGGCAGUUUACUGCUCUCGCUAUUAGAUGAGCCUAAGUCGGAUUAGCUAGAUGGUGGGGUAAAGGCCUACCAUGGCGACGAUCUGUAGCUGGUCUGAGAGGAUGAUCAGCCACACCGGAACUGAGACACGGUCCGGACUCCUACGGGAGGCAGCAGUGGGGAAUAUUGGACAAUGGGGGCAACCCUGAUCCAGCCAUGCCGCGUGUGUGAAGAAGGCCUUUUGGUUGUAAAGCACUUUAAGCAGUGAAGAAGACUCCGUGAUUAAUACCCACGGACGAUGACAUUAGCUGCAGAAUAAGCACCGGCUAACUCUGUGCCAGCAGCCGCGGUAAUACAGAGGGUGCAAGCGUUAAUCGGAAUUACUGGGCGUAAAGCGAGCGUAGGUGGCUUGAUAAGUCAGAUGUGAAAUCCCCGGGCUUAACCUGGGAACUGCAUCUGAUACUGUUAGGCUAGAGUAGGUGAGAGGAAGGUAGAAUUCCAGGUGUAGCGGUGAAAUGCGUAGAGAUCUGGAGGAAUA
RNAcentral lists this ribosomal RNA (662 nucleotides) under Psychrobacter sp. BTN14. Its description in RNAcentral is "bacterial SSU rRNA". It matches the Rfam family "Bacterial small subunit ribosomal RNA", at positions 53 to 708 of the family's 1533-position model. The record is from RNAcentral. Lineage: Bacteria; Pseudomonadati; Pseudomonadota; Gammaproteobacteria; Moraxellales; Moraxellaceae.